Non-coding RNA from Nymphaea colorata (pocket water lily), 73 nucleotides. The record is from the annotation of a RefSeq genome assembly. Lineage: Eukaryota; Viridiplantae; Streptophyta; Magnoliopsida; Nymphaeales; Nymphaeaceae.
GAGGGCGUAGCUCCAACGGUAGAGCGUUGGACUCCAAAUCCAACGGUUGCGGGUUCAAAUCCCGUCGGCCUCA